CAUUAAAUCCAGUUACUGACAAUUACAAUUAUUACUUUAUGCAGUAUCAUAAUGAUAUAGCAUCAAUUAUCUCAGCUUAAAACCUUUAACCAUAACGAUAUACAUCAACCAUUAUCUCAAGUUUCAACUGCUGCUGCAACAGCAUCUGGUCACAAAUGGGCUUAUUCUUAGGCAAUUAGAAGUGAGUAUGUUUUGUCUGUACGUAAGAUUUGGAACUAUUAGAUGUUUUAUUCAAAGGGUGGAUGGAUAGAGUCCAUCACUUUGACUUCAACUAGUGAUACAUGAUUCUAAUUGACUUUUCUUAAAUCACUUAUCAUCUAAUUUUGGUUUACUACUACGGAUUCAGAGUUUAAAUGACAAUUGCCAAUAUGCUAAAUAUAUGGAUUAUUUAAUUUUGUGAUCACUGGGAAAAGUCAUUUACCACAUUGCACCUAUUAUAAUUAAAUCUGAUUUCAUUUUAACUGCACUGUCAAAGUUCUUUUGCUUAUCACAUAACUAUUUAUGAUGCUUUUUGGUCAUCAGCAGUAUGUGUACACCCAUAUAAGCAUCUAAACAUAAGCAAUGUAAACAUGCUGAGUUUCUGAUCUAUCAGUUACACAAAAGUCCCAAAGGAACUGUUUCUCAUCUGGACAUUAAAAAAAAUAUCUGUGUACGAUAAUUUGCUUCAAAUAAUAUGAAACAAUAUAAAACAAUUUCAGGAUCAGAUAUGUAAACAUGAUGAGUUUGAAGCUUCUAUAAACAUAAGCUAGAUUAUGGAGAUACACAUACAUGAACCACAUAUAGGUUCAGAUAUGAGCUGUUCUGUUUAUUCAGGUAACUGAAUUUCACCUGUGCCUGAGUGCAAACCUGCAUAACUCAAAUUUUGUUCUACAAUAGGAUAUUCAAUGGUAUAUAUCAGAUUUUUAAGAGAUUUAAGGACUCGUUAGAAACAUGAACUUCACCUAAAGCACCUGACUAGCAACAAGGUUCAGGGAAGUUCACCGAGCCAUUUUUACAAAACAUUAUCACACAAAUGUUGGAAAAUUGCCACAACUACAAUCAAACAACUAAAUCAAUACACAGACAAUAUGAGACUAAGAACAACAAUGUGCAUUCUCAAUUUCUGGCCAUGAAGCAUCUAAAUUUUGAAAAUUUUAACAACUAGAAUUUAAUCUGUUCAUGAAAAACUCCGAUCAGAACAUAUAAAAAACAGAAAAUCCUGGAAUUCCUGAUGAUGCUCUUAUAUAUGAAGUAAAUUAGCAGGGGAAAACUAUAAAAAUUAUAAGCUACCAUAAAAGAGUUAAAAUUCUGUUUCCAAACUAUCCAUUAUCCACAUAUCAAUAUCCAGUCAUAACGUCAUAUAAACACCACUAGCAACAGAAAGAAAUCAUAGCAAUCUGAGGUUGCAGUAAAGGAUCUUUUCACGAAUUUUCACGAAACUACCUCAUAAUAUAGUGCCACAAAUUUUUCCCAUAAAAGCAGCCCAGAACAGUGCAAACAAAUCUUAACUGAAACGUCAUCUUAAAUGCAAACUAAAUAUUCAAGCACAUCAGAAUAUCCACAAGAAAAUAGAACAGGCAGCCCAAGUUCCUAUUAGAUGACAUUUGAAUUGACAGAAUGUUUCAUAGUGACAAU
This 1614-nucleotide long non-coding RNA is filed under the name Musa acuminata (dwarf banana). Its description in RNAcentral is "long non-coding RNA (MACU_LNC005979)". The record is from RNAcentral. Lineage: Eukaryota; Viridiplantae; Streptophyta; Magnoliopsida; Zingiberales; Musaceae.